AUGCAAGUCGGACGGGAUUUUCCGUUGUAGCAAUACGAUGGAAAGUCUAGUGGCGAACGGGUGCUUAACACGUGGGCAACCUGCCAGGAAGUGGGGGAUAGCUCGCCGAAAGGCGAAUUAAUACCGCAUGUGAUUAGAGAGGACAUCCUUUCGAAAUUAAAGUCGGGGCAACCUGACGCUUCUUGUGGGGCCCGCGGCCUAUCAGCUAGUUGGUGAGGUAAUGGCUCACCAAGGCUUUGACGGGUAGCUGGUCUGAGAGGACGACCAGCCACACUGGGACUGAGACACGGCCCAGACACCUACGGGUGGCAGCAGUCGAGAAUUUUUGACAAUGGGGGAAACCCUGAUCGAGCGACGCCGCGUGGAGGAUGAAGGUCUUCGGAUUGUAAACUCCUGUCAUUGGGGAACAAGGUGCAUACGUUAACUGCGUGUGCAUUGAUAGUACCCGAAGAGGAAGAGACGGCUAACUCUGUGCCAGCAGCCGCGGUAAUACAGAGGUCUCAAGCGUUGUUCGGAUUCAUUGGGCGUAAAGGGUGCGUAGGCGGCGCGGUAAGUCGGGUGUGAA
This 565-nucleotide ribosomal RNA is filed under the name uncultured soil bacterium. Its description in RNAcentral is "bacterial SSU rRNA". It matches the Rfam family "Bacterial small subunit ribosomal RNA", at positions 55 to 598 of the family's 1533-position model. The record is from RNAcentral.